CCAGAAUCCAGCCAAAUAAAAAUUGAAACGAUACAGAGAGGAUUAGCAUGGCCCCUACGCAAGGAUGACACGCAUAAAUAAAAAUUAUACACUCAUCCAU
Small nuclear RNA from Dendrobium catenatum, 100 nucleotides. Lineage: Eukaryota; Viridiplantae; Streptophyta; Magnoliopsida; Asparagales; Orchidaceae. The record is from RefSeq and is a predicted model, not a curated record.